This 64-nucleotide transfer RNA is filed under the name Bacillus atticus. RNAcentral's name for it is "tRNA-Leu". The record is from RNAcentral. Lineage: Eukaryota; Metazoa; Arthropoda; Insecta; Phasmatodea; Bacillidae.
UCUAAUAUGGCAGAUUAGUGCAAUAGAUUUAAGCCCUAUAAAUAAAGAAAACCUUUUAUUAGAA